Molecule: long non-coding RNA, 763 nt
Organism: Nannospalax galili (Upper Galilee mountains blind mole rat)
Lineage: Eukaryota; Metazoa; Chordata; Mammalia; Rodentia; Spalacidae
Exons: 3
Source: RefSeq, a predicted model, not a curated record
GAGAGCAAGAGAGGGAUGGAGAGAGAGAUGCAAUAUGCUUAAAAGUAAAAAUAAGACUUGUAAGACAAGAAGAAUUAUAGAAAGGAAAAAUAAAAUGCUAUUUUACUUGAAAGAAUACUAAGGUUUUAACUGUUUCUCUUUUCAUUUCUUCAGUCAUUUAAAUAAUUUUUUUCACCUAUAGAUAGCACCCAUAGAUACUUCAUUGUCUCUUUUUACAUAUUCUCCCAAAAGAUGAGAGUUAAAUGUUCUGGAAAAUGCCUGUGGUGGGGGAUUGAUGACAUGACACCAGUGGAGACCAGAGUUCCUUUUCACCUACAUUGCCACCAAAUACAAGCUCUAUAGAGAAGAAACAGAGAGAGCCCUACACAAUAACAGAGAAACAAUGCAGAUCUUUUCUUCAGUGAGCAAAAUACAGCAAGUUUGGGCCUUGGGUAUUUAUGUACAAAUCAAGCAUAGAGAGGAGGGGAGAAUAAACUUCAAGUAGAUUCAGGUUAAAACUAUUUGGAGGAAACAGACUAUACCCUGGGGCCUUCCUGUCUGCCAUCUUUAUGAGGCAAUCUUAGCAUGUCCAAAUGUCCCUGUCUAUCAUUUUGACCUUGUAAACAUGUGCUCUGUGAACCUGAGAUACACAUAACCAAAACUGUGUCUUCCAUUUUCCCUCCUUGAACUAUGACCAUAAACUGAGCAUGCUCAGAAAUUUGUUGCUGAGCAUGCUGAAUAAUGUGUCUACAUCUAAUAAAGAGCUUUCCUAUGUGAACAUGCA